UUCAAAAUUUCAUUUUGAAGAAAAGGUUUUGGAGAAACUAAUACGUUUGGAACAUAAAAUGGAACUUAAUGAAGAAAAAAUUAAAAAGUGGGAAGACGCAUUUUCUUCUAAAUUGGAUAAAAUGGAGGAAGCAAUAAAACGAACAGAGAUAUUUGUAGAAACAGUGCGAGAAAACCAAUUACAGGAACAAUCACGACUUAAUGAUUCAUUUCACGGAAUUGUCGA
This 225-nucleotide long non-coding RNA is filed under the name Mytilus galloprovincialis (Mediterranean mussel). The record is from RNAcentral. Lineage: Eukaryota; Metazoa; Mollusca; Bivalvia; Mytilida; Mytilidae.